This is a long non-coding RNA of Lathyrus oleraceus (garden pea), 586 nucleotides long. RefSeq lists it as uncharacterized. Lineage: Eukaryota; Viridiplantae; Streptophyta; Magnoliopsida; Fabales; Fabaceae. The transcript has 2 exons. The record is from RefSeq and is a predicted model, not a curated record.
GGUAUGUGAAUCAACGGUGUUACCAUAGGUUUGAUUUAAAUACUGGUAUGUAUUUGCACCAUUUCUUCAGAUCUAAUUCCCUAUCAAUUAAAUUUCACUUAAUUUCAUUCAUAUGUGAUAUUCUAUAAUCUCUUCUAAAUCUUGUUCUAAAUUAUGGAGCUUCAUUCUAACAGUUGAAGAUGAAGUUUAUUCAUUCAGCAGAAAUCUCUAUGAUGCAAUUUGAUUGGUCUCUUGUCAGAGUUUAUUUUUCUUUUCCUCGACCGUGAUUUCCUUGAUUAAUUGAGUCUAGAAUGAAAAUGGUAAUGGAUGCAUAUGUAAGUGUUGCACCUUCAGGUUGGUAAUGGAUGCAUAUGCAGGUGUUGGUCCUUCAUGUCAUUCUAUCACAUUACCAUUGGAUUCAUGUGUGUUUAUUUUUGAAAUGGUAAUUGAUGUAUUUGUAGAUAAGAGGAAGACAAGAAAAAUCAUUGCUGCAAACAUCUCCAAGUUUUACAUUUGUAACACUUUUAUAUUAAUUUCAUUUUUAAAUCAUGCAAAUUGUAAAUGUUAUUUUAUAAUAUUAGGCUAGUGAAAGUUUUACUUUCAUUCA